AAGUUAUAGUCCCCCGGCCUCCGGGCUGGGGUCUUCUAUACCACCCUCUGUUUACCACACCUUUGUUGCUUUGGCAGGCCUGCCCCCGGGCUGCCGGCUCCGGCCGGCCCGCGCCUGCCAGAGGACCCAAACUCUGUCUGUAUGUGAAGUCUGAGUACUAUAUAAUAGUUA
Molecule: unclassified non-coding RNA, 171 nt
Filed under: uncultured Geomyces
Lineage: Eukaryota; Fungi; Ascomycota; Leotiomycetes; Myxotrichaceae
Description: sequence contains ITS1
Source: RNAcentral